This is a long non-coding RNA of Nerophis ophidion (straightnose pipefish), 592 nucleotides long. RefSeq lists it as uncharacterized. The transcript has 3 exons. NCBI's taxonomy places the organism in Eukaryota, Metazoa, Chordata, Actinopteri, Syngnathiformes, Syngnathidae. The record is from RefSeq and is a predicted model, not a curated record.
AGGCUGGUCAAUCAGGAAGUGACUGUAUGGCGAGGCAGCUGCACUUCCUGUCCCACACUUCUUCUACUUCAAAGAACAACCAGACAGCAAAUCCAUGGAAGCUUUGAAACUUCUUGUUACUCACUGACAACAAUCCACAGCCUUUCUGCUCGUGCCUUUUCAAGAAGUGUGAUCAGGAUAAUGACAACACCAUCACUGAUUAAGGAUGUUGCAUCACUCCCGGCUUCAGCUCUCCGAAGGCAUCAAUGAUCAAGCCUGGAAAGAAGGACACACUUUAUCUUCUAGUCCAGUCUGGAGAUCUGGCUUUGAAGCUCAUGUGAUUUAGUCCUUCUCAAAUAGUGCUGUGUGUGACGUGCUUUAUCAGUAUCAUGCACAAUAUUGCUUUAUCUGUAUCAUAUGGAUAAAGAUAAGACCUUCUGGAGGAAUGUUCUGUAGUCAGGUGGUGAAAAAUGUGCACAGAAGCGUGUGGAUGGCUAGCAGAAGCACCUUAUUGCAGGUAAACUUGCCAAAGAACAUGGAAGCAAAUAUGAACACUGCUGUACUUAUACUUUUGAUGGCUCACAUCUUCAGGAGAGACAGAAUAAAUUCAUAA